CGCAGUGACGCGGGGUGUCCCGGACGCCGGGACUGAGAUCACACCCGUCGAACCUGAUCCAGAUCAUGCUGGCGAAGGGACUGUCGCACGAUGGUCAC
Molecule: non-coding RNA, 98 nt
Filed under: Actinopolymorpha singaporensis
Lineage: Bacteria; Bacillati; Actinomycetota; Actinomycetes; Propionibacteriales; Actinopolymorphaceae
Description: TPP sequence
Rfam family: TPP riboswitch aptamer (THI element)
About the family: Vitamin B(1) in its active form thiamin pyrophosphate (TPP) is an essential coenzyme that is synthesised by coupling of pyrimidine and thiazole moieties in bacteria. The previously detected thiamin-regulatory element, thi box was extended, resulting in a new, highly conserved RNA secondary structure, the THI element, which is widely distributed in eubacteria and also occurs in some archaea.
Source: Rfam by way of RNAcentral